AUGGAUGGCGACGUCCUAAGGUUGAUCAGCGACAUGCGUGGGUGUUGGAGUCCGGUGUCCACGAGCCCCGAUGGCAUUCUAUGUGUCACCGGCUAUCUGGAUAGCUACCCGGGCAACGCUGUUUUUGCCGGGUUGAUCGACCUUGGCACCAUGGAGGCGGUUGUCACCCGCUUAGAAGACAAUAAAGCCUGGGGCUUCGGUCGUGCCGUCCCGUCAGACGCGUAUAAGACUGUGCGCUUCCGAGACCACAUUAGCGGGUGUUAUUGUGAGGUUUACACAAUAGGGGGUGGUGACGGGUGGAGACGGAGGAAAUCACACCCAUUGCAUUACAAAUACGAUAGCUUUGAAAACUAUGCUGCAACCGUCAAUGGUGUGUUGUAUUUAUUGGCAAGGGCGAAGCCACAGGGCAUGGACUAUGUACUCCGCUUUGACAUCGAGAGCGAGGAGUGGAAGAAUAAUAUCAAAGGCCAUCAAAUGUGGACAUCUGGGGGCAUGAUAUCAGCUUAG
Molecule: ribosomal RNA, 507 nt
Filed under: Triticum aestivum (bread wheat)
Lineage: Eukaryota; Viridiplantae; Streptophyta; Magnoliopsida; Poales; Poaceae
Description: partial small subunit ribosomal RNA
Source: RNAcentral